Long non-coding RNA from Homo sapiens (human), 15038 nucleotides. RefSeq lists it as uncharacterized. The record is from RefSeq and is a predicted model, not a curated record. Lineage: Eukaryota; Metazoa; Chordata; Mammalia; Primates; Hominidae. The transcript has 8 exons.
GUGGGUGUCAGUGAAGUGGGAAGCAGUGAUUGGCUCCUUUGGGCUGGAGUUCUUGGAGUAAGUGCUGAUAGUUUUGGGAAGAUUUAUCUGGAAGUGUAGCCCAGGGUCAUACUGCAGAGGCGAUGAGUUUCAGAGAAACACAAUUCUCCUCUUCUAUUUCCUGUAGGAUCCCAGGGUACGGCUGCAAAAGGAGUCUGAGAAGAUGACUUACUGAAAUCAAGAGCUUGGAUGCCCUUCUCCUUCUGCCCUUGGAUGUCAGAAUUCCAGUUCCUCUGGCUUUUGGACUGUAGGACUCACACCAGCAUUCCCUGUCCCUACCACCUCCACCACCCACCAGCUUUCAGGCCUUUGGCCUGAGACUGAGAGUUACACCAUCGGCUUCCUUGGUUCUGAGGCCUUCAUAUCCGGACUGAACCAUGCAACUGCCUUUCCUGGUUCUCCAGCUUGCAGUCGGCCUGUUGUGACACCUCUCAGCCUUCCUUACAAACCAUGUAGGACAUGUCUGCUUCCUCUUCACCUUCUGCCAUGAUUGUAAGUUUCCUGAGGCCCCCCAGCCAUGCUUCCGGUACAGCCUGUGUAACUGAGGCUAGAAAUCAAAAUUUGGCUCUACAGGCCCAUGAUAUUCCCUCUCUGAUCUACUUCUCUGGACAUCUGGGUUUCCUGUGGAUUGCGUUCAAUCAGCAAUGUUGAGAACAUUCUGGAUAAAAGGUAUGGGAGAGUAUGUGACCCAGUGUACUUUCAAUUAAGUGGUGAAGUACAAACAAUGAGAGGUGCCUCCAGCAGCUCCCUGGACUCCUUCUCCCCAAGGGGAAAAGGAAACUGAAUAAAGGAAAACAUGGACAACCUCAAAUGCAGAAACAUGACAUAUUUUCUCAUGAGGACAGCGUGGCCCAGGAGAAAGAGGGAACUUCCAGCAUCUAUGAGGAAACAGAAUUUCUUUUGAUCACAGAAGAAAAGAGAAGAAUAUUAACCAUGGAGUGUCCACCAGCAGGGUCUGAAACCAAAGCCCCUCAAGGACAGGAGAUCUACCUCUGGGCUUGGAAUCAAGAGGACCAGUCGUUCCGGGAGGCCUCCCUGCUACCUUUGGGGCCUUUGGCAAGUCCCUGAAAGUUUCCAGGUUUCAGCCACCUAUUUGGGCUCUGGGGAGAGGAAUGCCUACCAUUUGCCUCUGGCUCUGGGAUUUUAAAAGGAAAAGCAGCAGAGUCUUUGGAAAAACCAAUCUCUGAAGACCCAGGGUGAACAUUAGUUACAACACCCUAGCUUCGAGGUGAUGUAAACUUCAGGUACGGAGGUUACGCUCAGAGGAAUAAAGGAGCAUUCGUCAAACAUGAGCUCCCCUCGAUUGUGGUCUAGGGUGGAGACCAGUUAUUCAAGUGUCUGUGGGCCCAGGCAGGUAAUGAAAAUGUAGUUAUGGGGGAACGCCCGGCUCAGAACAGGCGUAGAGUAAAUAGUUGUUGUUGACUGACUGAAGGAAUAAAAGUGGGUCUGAUAUAAGACAAUAGGGAAUGGUACAAACCUUGUCAAACUGGAAGGUACAUGACUUGAAUUUGAUGUUCAAACUAUUGCUUUUUAAAACACUAGUUUAAACAUCUUCUGGCCCUAGAGCUACCAAUUUGUAUCUCUGUAUCCACUUUUAUAUAUUUUAGGCCCAUUUAAAAGACCAGGAAAGGAGGAAAAUAAAUCUAGCAGUAUAGGACGUUCUUAAUCUUGUCAGUUAACCCUAAUUUUAACACCCCAUCUCUGUUUGUCAUUCUACUUAACCACUUUGGAUUAAGCAAAUUCAGUCACUUUGGAAAUAGUACGUGUGGAUGGUACCUUACAGGAUGAAGGACCAUAACAAUAUUCUCUAGCGCAGGCCUCUACCUCCACAGGGGGACAGACUGAUGAGCCAGAUCAACUCCUGCAUCCUCUUCCUCAAGGAAAGCCCCCAUCAAUAAAACCACAAGGUUACAGUGGAGCCAGAGGGAGAGCUGGCCUGAGUUGAGACCUCCUCAUGGAACUCAUGGCUUCAGUUUCCUAAAAUGGGGAUUGUACUCCCCUAGCUCUCCUUGCUUCACAGAGCUGUUUGUGACAACUCAUGAGUAAUGUUAUGUGAAAGGGCUUCACACACUGCAGUGUGCUGAAUAAAUGUAAAGAGUCCAUGCUAUCCAAUUUGGAGACAGAAAUUAGAGGACUCCUCCUCACACUAGUUAAGUACAUCUCUUAAAUUGCUUGGACUGUUGGCGUGGUUCUCGCCAGAGUUGAAUAUAAUUCCUCUGUUGAUGGGUCAGCCUUUAUUUCCCCCAGUGCUGUUUCUUACUUGAGUUAAUGAGUCCAAAGCUCAUGUUUGCAUGCUACCUCUGACCCUCACUAAGUGCUCACCUGCAGCUCUGCCCUGUCCUCAGAAUGAUGUGACCCUCAGGGCCAAACACUCCACAGGCUGCACUCUGCCACCUCCAAAUCCCCACCAGUGGGUCCAAUUCUCAGUCAUCUGCUUGUUGUAUUUCUGUUGUUUCUGUAUUCAUGUCAAGGAUAUUUGGCUGCAGAAUUCCUGCAAUAUAUUUUAGGUGAAUGUGCAGCAUGAUCUUAUUCUGGAGUCCAGGAGACUCCACCUAGGAUUGCUCACAAGUAGGUCAAGUGGAGGGGGUGGCUAAGGCCAGUUUUUCUGCUUGCUAUGCUGGUGCAGGCAGAGGCUUUAGAGUUAUGUUUCCAAUAAAAGGCAUAGAUUUUCACUGCCUGAUGAUCAAAGUCAAACUCCUAAGCCUGGAAUUUGAGGCUCUCAAAAUCUGGCAAUAUCAUUUUUUCCUUCUUCUCUUCUAGUUUCUUCUGUGCACCACAGGCCUCAUGCACCAGGGUGCACCCCCUUCCAUGUACAUAUUCCACAUUUUCACACAUCAAGCAUGCAUAUGUACAAUUUAUACAUACAGUUUCCUCUGAUUCUUUUUUGUCCUUAAAUGUCUGCCUGCUAUCAUCAUGACCAUUUUUAGGGAGAAAUGCUUACCCGUACCUCCUAUUUCCACAGAGAGGAGAGGCAAAGUCGAGAGUUUCACCACUCUCUUUAGGAGGAGAAAAGAUGGAGGAACAUUCCCAGCCCCUGACUCCAUCUUUGACUCGCUCUUCCUAGGAGAAGAGGAGUAACUGGGAUCAGAACCUGAGCAUACCCAGCUCAGCUCCACCAUCCCUCCGUCUUCAGGGCUCCUCCUGCCUGCAGAUCAAGGGCUUCUUGCCUGGCUCCCACUUACUUUCUCCCUGUGGUUGCCGUCUAGAGGCAGUCAUGAAGCCCCGUGCUCAGGGCAAGUCCCUCCACGGGGGCAGGACUGGCAUGAAGGAGUAAUGCCCUCUGUAGUGGGAAGGGUGAGAACGUCUGCCUGGGACUGGCCCUGCCCUCAUAAGGGUUUAUACUGCAAAGGCAGGGGAAAGAGGCCUGUUCUCCAAUCCAGAGUUACCAACUGAUAGUUUGAGUUUCUUCCUUCUGGCCCUAGUGCCCAUACUGAAUUGACUCUGAAUCCUCAGAGGAAGAGAGAAAUUAUUUAUGUCCUAAAACCUCAACAGCUAAAUGUCACAUCUUCAAAGACGUUUCAGACCUUCCUUGUCAGGUGUGAUCAUUCCUUCUCUUUUUCCUCUUCGCGUGUUUCCUGUAGAACUCCAGUUGUGCUUCAUUUGCUCAUUCUUUAGUUCGACACAUAUUUACAGGUGAAGACCUGGGAUUUCCUUGCAUUUAGGAUGUGACGAAAAAUCACAUUUUUUAAGUUGCGUUUUUUUCAGAAAAUCCAAGUCUUCACAUUAGUAUGGUAUAAUUAGAACAGAAUUGGACAGAAGGCUUGGAUUUAGGUCUCAGAUUGAGACCUGCAAGAUACUGAGAGCUUCUGAGAUUACAGGAAUGCUGCUAGGUGCUUUUUGAUACAGAAUCUUGAAAUUGUUGGUUUCCUACAUUAUUUUCUUUUUGGAAUGAAGACCACUAAAACUCUAAGACAAAGUGAACAAAUGAUAGCAAAAAUAACAGUAAGGAAACCAUGAUCAGCUCGGGGUCAUGUCACCAAUAGUUGGCUGGGUCAGGGGUCAGACCCAAGACUCUUGACUCUGAAUCCUCUAUUCAUUCUUUCUGCCUUCUCUCACACUCUCUGUGACUCUUGCAGUCCCUCUGCAGAGAUAAGAGUAACCCAUGAAACAGAUCUGUAGCAACAUAAGGCAAUAAAUGAUAAAUGCCAAAAUAAUUCCUCCUGGCUAUGAGUAAACUAAGGAUUCCAUGAAGGGCGAAUCCCCAUGGCCGUGGAGAUUCAUGGCAGCCUUCCUGGAAAAGGCAGGAUUGAAUUGAACCCUGGCAGGAGAAUUCUUGGGUAGGGAUAGAGGACUGGGAAGAACAUUCUAGGCAGAGGAUCUCAUAGAAACAAAGGAGCACAGGCCAGAUAGAGCAAGAGAAAUCCAGGACACAAUGAAUUUACCAGCCUGGCCUGACCCAAGGUUGGUAUCUGGAUAAGGAUAACAUGGGAGGUAAGGCUAGAAAAGACGAUUAGGUCUUUACUUGAGAGGAUAGUGGUUUUCAAUUUAGGAAGAACCACAGUCUCACCAUUUUGAAAAUGCCUAUACCAGUCCCCAGACCUGCUGAAUCAGACAGGAUUUGGGGGAAUGAGUUGGAACAAUUAUUAUUUUUCAGUCCUCUAUAUGUGAUUCUAAUGCUCAGUGAAGGCCGAAAAUCACCAAGAAAGGAAGAAAGCCCAUCAAGCAUACACAGAGCCCUAUAUUUCCAUCCAGUCGUCCUAGGGUUCCUCUCUGGCUUUCCAUCUGUAACACUGAGUUGGGGCAAACUACUCUCUAUACCCCAUUUUUCUAAUUUUUAAGAUUGAAACAAUAAUAAGACUGCCUACCGCCCUCAAAAGCUCAUCAGGAUGAAAAAGCAAAGUGUUGUAUUUGAAAAUCCCAGACAGAUGUGGCAUAGGUAGCUGUGAGUUGAUUCUUUGACUAGGGAGGUGCUGAAGGCUGCUGAUAAAAGUAUUGGGGCCGGAAGGGCACCCAGAGGGAUGGAUGAAGCACCGAGAGAUUGGAGGGUACUGGGUAGCAGCUAAGGCAAUGAUUCAGGUGUGAGCUGACACAGCCCAGCCAUGGUGAGGCCUUGAGGAUAAGUGUGUGGCCACAGGCCAAAAAGAUUCAGAUUCUCUGUGGGGAACAGCAAGGCACUAUCCACACCUAAAAAUAAAACUGGCCUGUCUCAACCCUGGAUUGGAUACCUCAAAUUGCUGAAGGGCAGCAGGACCAAAUUCUAAUUUUAAGAAAGUCUGCUCUUUGAAUGCAGACUCAGAAACAGCUUUGCUGGGGAAAAAUGUCAAAUGGUUUGCCAGGAUAUUGACAGUGUUCCCAAAGACAGGAAUAGAAGUACUGAAAAAGGGAAUGUCAAGACAGGAGUUCCUGGGGUCUCUAACUCCGGAAUCUUCCAGCAGGAGAAGGAAAGGCAAGGAACCAAAACCCAGCAAGUUAAAAAAUAAUAAUAAUAACAAUAGUAAUAAUAAGACCAAGCUGCAAAUCUACGCUCCUGACACUCCCAUCUUGCUCCCACCUGGGCCCCUGGAGCGAUUCCCUGUGACCCUUAAAGAGCUACCACCCCUUGGGGUGGUGUCAGGGACUCCUGCUCCCCUUCCUCCUCCUCUGGCAGCUACAGGCGCCAUUAUCUCAUGAACUUUCCCCAUAUCCCUUGGAGAUAAGUAUUUCCUUAUGGUAGUGAUUGUUAUUCUCAUUUCACAGCUGGAGAGGUGGAGACAGAAGGAUAGUCCUGAGAAGAGGGAGACAUUUUCUUCCUUUCCUCUGGACUCUGUCAUAUUCAAAUCAUAAAACAGAAAGCACAGGAAAGGUCUCUGAGCAUUGUUAAACUCAAGGUAGCAGGGAUCAGCACUAAGGGAAGGAAAGGUUAUUGUGGGUUUGGUGUGUUGUAAAAUUUAUGUUCAAAUUUUUUGGGGGGAGAUGGUGGAUAGUCAAUUUCUUUUUAUUUUCAUACGCCCAUUAAAAAAAAGGUGGAAUUUCAGAAAUAAUCUAAUGCAAGCUUCAUUUUGCAUGUAAGGAAAUUGAGGCCCAAAGUGAGAACUUGUUAAACAGGCUGUGACGGGGAUGCUGAAGCCCCCUGCUCCUAGUGGCAUUUAGGCCAUGCUGUCUGCCACCCUUCAACCUGCUUCACAUGCUCUGGGGACUGAGACUCCAGGCAAAGGCACAUCCAAGGGUGAUGCUGCCUUGGGUUAUCGUGAGAGUCUGGCUAGAGGCCGGACUUCUCUGCAAAGUUUGAGAAACGUAUUGAAAUUAUCAAGACUUGGAAGGCAGCCGUCAUUUGCACCGAGCUUUCACCGCCUUACCGAGUUCCUAGACUUUAACUAUUCAGGGUUUAGCCAGCCCAUUGUAUUAGUCUCAUCAGAAGCCCUGCAAUCUUAGGCCUGUCCCCUAGGCCCAGGGUGAGGUUUCUGGGAGGUAUGGGAGCAAUCCUGGCCCCACAGACCCCCAACAACUGCCCUAGGGGAGAGAGGAUUGUGGGAAACCUCCCUGGCCCCUGCGCUGGGAGGGCACAGGCUGGGGGAGUUGGAUGCUGCUCUCAGGAUGUCUUUAGGUAGGAAGACGGGCCAUCCACAGAGAACUAUGGCCUACGAGAGCUUCUGUGGAGGUCAGUGCAAGACAGUCCCUUUCUACACAAAUGAUUCAUUGCUGGAAACUUCACAUAAUUACACAUUUGAAUAAUUCAAAGCUAAUUUUCUUACAGGCACAAAUGUAAAGAAGGAUAGAUUUCACUUUUGAGACUUGUAAAUCUGUAAGUACCAUUAGAAAGUGUAACUUUUUUGUUUUUGCUUUUGAACUUACUUUUAUAACAAUAAAUAUAGGAUAUGCCAAUAAGGAUUUUCUGAAAAUUUAGAGAUGUCUGUUUAAUAGAGCUUUUCAUGUUCAAUGAGGUUAUCUGUAGUGUUUUCCUAAAUCAACUGCUCGAGUUAUCCUGGCAGAUAUUUGGUCCUCAUCAUAGUAUUUUAUCACAUCUAAUCCUGUUUCCUAAUGUUUUUAUUCUCAGAAAUGUUUUUCAGCAAAAGCACUAUUUCCACUACUUAAUGCACCCUUGGGUGACAUUGAUAUAAGAUAUAGAAAAAAAUUUAAUUAUAAGAACACUGAGUAGUGACAAAAAUGACCCCCUGCCAACUCCUUUUGGUAAACAACAGAAUGGGCUGGUGACAGAUUUGUGCGUGCUAACAAAGAGACCGUUGCCAUGGGGCAGUAGUGAAAACAAAGCUUAAAAUGAAUUCAGCACUAUUGAUUAUUAUGCAAUUCUCAUUAAUUUUAUGCAUUUUGAAAACUUAAGUAAUUUCCAAUUUUGAGCACUUUACAGACUCUUUUUAAAUUCCUCCAACUUUCUACCAUAUGGUACAAUAUACAAAGUAACAUAGAAGUUGUGGGGAGGAAAUGGAACAAAAAAAGAAAGAUUAGAAUUGGGAUUUAAACUCACAACUUUUACUUCUAGACAAUUUCACAUAGGAUUUACCCAGCGAUGCAUCUCUUAAAGAUGCACCAUCCUGACAUCCUUGGCUCAUUCAUCAUGCCACCUUGCCUCCUGCAGGGAAAGUCACUGCCAAGAAGACAUCACAUUGGGCAUAUUCAUUUUAAUUAGUUCUCCCAAUAAUACCAUGCUACAGAUAUCUCUAUAAUUAGAUGCCCAUCGACUAUUGCGUCAUUUCCCUGAGUCUACAGUCACCCUGGCAUUGUGGCCCCUGGAGUCCUAGGUGCCUUGGCAGUUGCAGACUCCAAUGUUUCUCUGCUCAGUGCCUUAAGAUUUCUCAGCAACUGUCCUCUGCCAGGCUUCCCAGGCCCCUGCACAAAGAAUUAGCCAAUGCAGGCAUCAAAGUGGAGUUCAGAAAAUUGUGCACGCAGCUUAACCUCCUGGCUGCCUCAGCAGCUCUCUGCUGCCUUCAAGACAAUUAAUUUUUUUUUAAUGUUUUUCUUACUGUUCUCAGCUAGAACAGUGGUUUGCUACAGCUACUGCAUCAGAACCAGAAGUGGACGUCAACAUGUUUUUGAGAUUUGUAUUAUAGUUUGGGUCAUUAUUUUUAACAGCUGAAUAUAAUUUAUAUAUAUAGUACAUUGUAUUUAUUUAUAGGUGGACGUUUGAAUGUUUUCCAACUUUUCACUGUUAAAAACAAUGCUGUAAUGAAUAUUCUUGCACAUGUCUUCUUGUACACAUCUUUGAGAAUUCCUCUAAAAUAUACAUCUGGAAGAGGAAUUGCAGACCAUACAGGCUGCUAAUUUUUAAUGUAAUUAUAUAUUGCCAAAUUGCUUUCUAAAGUAGAUGAACCACUUUACAUUUUCACCAGUAGUAUGUGAGUGUUUGUGUUUAUCACUAGCUUUGAUAAUUCUUGGUUGUGAAACCAUUUAAUUUUUGCUAGUCAAUUGGAAAUAAAUUUAUAUCUUCUUUUUCUGAUUACUAAUGGGGCUCUCCAGCUCAUUGCAUUUCGGGAUUCCUUUUCUGGAAAUGCCUGUUCACAUCUCUGGUUGAUUUUCCAUUGGAUAUUUGUCUCUUCCUUAUGAAUGUAUUAUUUAUACAACCUAAAUACCAAUUAACCCUUAGUCUGCUAUAUAUGUGGCAAAUCAAUCCACAAGUAUCCAUUGAGAGCCUUCUGCAUGCAGUUCUAGGGGCAUAAGGGUAAAUAAAACAGACUAGGUCUGAUUUCCGUGAGGCUUAUGUUCCAGUGCAAGAAGACCGAGCAUCAUCAGUUUAACACAAAAUUAGUAAAAUGACAUCAAAUCAGAAGAAAUGCUAUAAAAAUAAAACAAAAAAAUAAAAUAGAGAGGGAUGGGUAUGUCAGAUGUUUUAGGUUGGAGAGGUUACAGAAAAACCUGAAGCAGAAGCUUGAAUGAGAAGAGAGAGCCCCAUGAAAAUAAGGGGAUAAUGCUUCCCCACAUGGAUGAAAGUCCAAGACCCUGAGGUGGCACCAGCUAGGCACUCAGUGUUUUUUUUUUUUUUUUUCUAUGUCUCCAUCCUCCAAAGGCCAAGAUUUUCUCUAAUGAGUGCUUUACUCUGUGCUCCAGCAGGGCCACAAUUAUUGCUAUCUGAAUCUGAGUUGUGGCAGGCAAGAUGUACAGAUUAUUCUCUGGCACAAUAAAUUGGGUUUAACUCAAGCCCCCCCAGCAGUGGUAAUAGCUGAAGAAGAAAGCCUUUCUUCCACACAGCACAGUUCAUGCUAUUUGGAGGGCAUCCUGAUGAAAGGCAUUGGCACUCUGGAUUCAGGUUACCCACAUUCAUAUCCUCCUUCCAGUUUAUUAGCUAUGAGACCCUAAAGCAAGUUCUCCAAACUCUCUGAGCUUCCAUUUCUUCUUGUGUAAAAUGGAGAUCAUAUUUAUGGUAGAAAGGCCUCUAAGGUGUCCCCCCAAAGAUCCCAGCCUCUUGGUAUUCAUACUCUUGUGCAAUUCCCUUCAUGGAGUGGACCUAGUAACUUCCUUGUAAUUAAUGAGAAUAUCACAUAAGUGACAGGAUGUCACUUGUGAGAUAAGGUUUUAAAAGACUCUGAAAUCAAUUUAAAUCCAUCUUGCUGUCUCCCUUCCUUGCUCUUUAUGUGGAAGCAAGCUGCCAUAUUGAGAGGUCUAUAUGGCAAGAAACAAGGAUAUCCUCUGCCCAACAGCCAGCAAGGAACUAAGACCUACCAAUAGCCACUGAGUGUGCUUGGAAAUGAACCCUACCCUAGUUGAAAUGAGGUGACUGUGAGCUGGCUGAUAUCUUGAUUGCAGCUGUGUGAGAGACCUGGAGCUGAAGGAAUCAGGCAAGACAUACCUGGAUUCCUGACCCACAGAAACUUUGAGAUAAUAGAUGUGUGUUAUUUUAAGUCACUAAAAUUUGUGGUAAUUCAUUAUAUAGCAGUAAAUAAUUAAUACAAUAAUAGGACCUUAUCAUGUCAUUCCUGUGAAUCUGAAAUUACAGAUGAUUCCUGACUUAACAGUAAUUCCACUUACUUUUUUUUUUUUUUUUUUUUUUUUUUUACUUUACUGUGGUGCGAAAGUGAUACACAUUGAUGGAGUUAUGUCCUGACAAAACCAUUGUACAGCGAAAAUAUUUGGUGGAAAAUAAGCAUUUUUGACUUAGGAUGUUUUCAAUUUAUGAUGGUUUUAUCCGAGUAUAACCCCAUUGUAAAUGAAGGAGAACCUGCAACUAACACAAGUGUUAAGGGCACAUGGUAAGGGCUCAUAAAUGUUAGGGGCUGUUCUCCUACUCAUUGCCGAAGAGUUGGGCAGUGGGUGUUUUUACCAAAAUUAAGGCUGACAACAAGUCCUGCCUCCUGCAAACCCCCACUGAAGCCCAUUGGAUCACAGGUCUGACCAAAGCAUUCUUGCAGUUUUAAAUCUCAGGAGUGGCUCCUUCAGAUGGGCUAUCUUGAAAGCACCAGAGUAGUCUCGUCCCUUAGUCCUAAAAAACCAAAGGAUAGAGAUGGCCUCGGAUUUUAGUACCUUCCUGCUGUUCUCUUCUAUUUUCCCAGUACUCCAGCUGCUCUCGGUUCUGAUUUUCUCCAGGAAGGCUUUUCAUACGGACCCCAGUGAGUUCUCCUUCCUCUGAAAACCUUAGCUAUUUUCAUUAUGGUUAUGGUUUUGUAUUUCUUUCCACCCUUGUGCAACACCAGCUACCUGAAGGGGAUUUUACAUGUGCUUGUCUGACAUCGACUCCCUUGGAGGUCUCUUUGGUACCGACGUUCACUUUCACUCUACUGCCUUCUGCCCAUCUGCUAUUCAAUUCUUCCCACCCUUGCCCCUGAACUACAUGGCAGUGGGUAAGCGUAUCCUAAAUGUUGGCAGUGCAGUGGCAGUAGAUGGCAAGGAUGUUUCAGGUGGUUCUUACAGGUCUCAGGUAACAUAUGAAACCCGUUUCAUUAGUAAAACCAAAACAAGGGGUCCUGUUGCAUGCUCCCCCAUAGGAAAUACUUUACAGCUUAGGGGAUCCAGGCUAUAAAUAACUGUGCCAAGUCUGUGAAGCAUAUUUUUUUUGUCAGUUUAUCCAGAUCAGAAGCUUCUGAAAGUCCAAAGCCCUUGAGAUUAUUUGCUUUGUAACGAUAAGAAUGUGCAAGGUACUUCCACAUUUAUGAUGUCAUACAGACUCCAAAAUAAUGCUGGAAGAUAGUCAGGAAUCAUUAACUCCAUUUCAUAAAUGACUCAGAAGAGGGAGUAACUUGCCCAGGUUUAUAAAGGACUGGGGUGGGCUUUAUAAGGACAGGGGUGGGCUUGAGUUCAGAUCUUUUGCAUCUAAAUGAAUAUUGACAUGGUGAAUAUUCAGAGUUCUUACUCCGUGCUAAGCCCCACAUUGAGUGUUUAUACAUGUUAUCCCAUAUAUAGUCAUAUUGCACACUGACGAGUUAAGUUUAGAGAGAUUAAGUCACUUGGCCUGGUGACCCACAGCUAGUGAAGGAAGAAUUGAGACUGGAACCCAGGUCUCUGGCUCUAGAGCCUUUGCUUUUACGCACACACCAAGUAUCUCCCAACUCCAGAGGUCCUGAGCUUCCCUCACAGGGUGCUGGUGAUGCAGUGUCAGAAGAGAGGAAGAUACCCUGCUCAGCCCCACUCAGCCAAGGUAACGCUAAUGGUCAGUCAGUCCUCAGAGAGCUGGGAUGCCCUUCUUCUCCCUGCUUACCUCUGCCUGGCCCACCUCUCCUCCCUCAGAUCCAGGCCUCUGCAGAGGGCCGGCCCAAUUCUGGGAGCAUCCUGCCUGCUAAGGUUAGAGAGCUAGGCCUGAAGAAAAGGGAUACAUUUUUAGCAAUAAUAAUUAUGCAAACCUGGACGUAGAAAUAUAAUCCAGAAGGAGGCUUCAUUUGCCCACAAAAGAGCUCUACAUUGAAGGAGAGGCUUGGAGAAUCUUUGCAUGUACAGUUUAUAUAAGCAAGCUUCAUAAUUAUAUCUUUUUCAAUGAAAUUAAUUUAAAAAUAUCACUUGGGUAUAAAAGAGACUGGGAAAAAAAAUCUGUAUAAAAAGCAAAUGGGGUUCUUAAACAAGCCCAUAAAAUCUCUUCAUUGACACAGAGAUGGGGGUCGGCAAGGAGACUUUUCGAAAGAUUCUCUAGGUAUGAAAUACUGGUUAGGAAAUGCCCUCUACCUGGUUGGAGGUAGGAAGAUGGGGGUUAUCAGGACACAGGCCUUGCUAAGUCCUCAGGGUCUCGCUGUCUAAAAGUUUCCACACUCAAGGGCUCCAGGCCCUCCCUGUACACCACAGGAUAAGUGCUGAGAUUCUGGAGUCAGAGAAAGCCAGGGCUGGAUUUAAGCUGUGUGCUUUCUUCUCCUACUGAAAAUACGGAGAAGUCCAUUCUCACCCCUGCAGUCAGAGUGAUCCUUCUGAAUCAGAUCAAAGUACUGAUCUGCUCAAAAUCCUGCGAUGGCUCCCCACUUCCCUUAAUGGCAGCCUACGUCCUUGGAAGCACUGGCCUGAGGUCCUUUUAAGUUCUUAGUAGAAACCCAAGCCACCUAAGGUGAAAACUGUUAAGCUCCAAUCACCCUGACUCAUAUGCUAACCUUGUUCACUUUUCUCUAGCCACAUUGUCCUCCUGGCUACUUGUCCUCCAACAAUGCCAGACGCAGCUCCUACUUGAUGGCCCUUGUAUUGCUUCUUCCUUGGCCUAACCAAUGGGUUCACCUCCUUUAUGUCUCUGCCUACAUAUAAACUUCUUAAUGAGACUCACCCUGUGAAAUUAUUACUAUCUCUGUCUGCACCCCUUUUCCUUCCCUGAUUUUUUUCCCUGAUCACCUUCUUGGUAUACAAUUAAUUGAUUUGUAAAUUUUAUUUUUUUUGGAUGCCACUUUCCCCUCUAGUUCAAUCUACAUAAAACUAGAAGUGUUUGUUUGUUUCAGUCAUUAAUAGAUUCCAAGGACCUAGCAUGGUGCUUAACAUAUAGUACGUGCUUAAUAACUUAUGGCUGAAUUAAUGAAUGAAUGUUUAAUGCUCACAAGCCACUUCUUCUCCAAGCCUCCGUUUUCUCUUCUCUAAAUGGCAGUAAAAAUAAUACUGCAAUGAACGGCUGCUGCUUUUGUCUACCUGGUAUUCCUUCUACAUUUGAUAAGAGAGCUCCUCUUUCCUAAACCCAUUUCAUGUGGUUCUGAUAGCAGCAAUCACAGAGUUGCUAUGGUCACCCCGGCUGCCCUGGCAAUCAGGGAACACCACCAUUUCCCUGGUCAUGGUGGUGCACAAAAAGGCAUGCGUUUCAAGCAGGGCCAAUCCAUGAGACUAGGUCAAUGCUCUCUGGAUGAAGGGCCAUUUGGAGGAGCCUGUGCUGGCAGGGCCAUGUGGGCUGUGGCUGUCAGCAGUGAUUUUACAAACUCUUGAAGGCAGCUUGCUCGGGAUGUAGCCAAGCAGCAUCAGGCAAAGCAGAGAGUUGCCUCGAGAAAGAACAGAGCUCGUGCUCUUUUUGAAAAUAGGGUCUAGCUGGAAGAGAGCUGAGGCAAACAGACCCUGGGAAUGGACAGGACUAAUAUGGAGCGACAAACUGCGGAGCCAAAAGCAGAAAUUCCUCUGCCUAGGAUGGCAUCCUUCAAUUUUUGCUUGGCAAAUUCCUGCUCAUCCUUCAGAACCUCAUUUGAGGACUUCUUGCUCCCCUAGAUCUCAUGGGCUGAAUUGAUCACGAUUCCCUUUGUGCCCCAUUGUACCAGGUUUCAACUGUAUCAAAUUCAUCACUACAAAUUGUAGUCAUCCAUUGUGUUCAUUUGCUAGAAAUGCCAUAACAAAAUAGCACAGUCUGGGGGGCUUAAUAGAAAUGUAUUUUCUCAUGGUUCCAGAGGCUGGAAGUCCAAGAUCAAGGUGUCGACAGUGACGGUUCCUUCCGAGGCUUCUCUCCACGGCUUCACCCUGUCUUCACUUGGCCUUUCCUCUUUGUGUGCAUCCCUGGUAUCUCUGUGUGUGUCUAAAUGUCCUUUUCUUAGAAAGACAUGAGUCAGAUUACAUGAGGGCCCACCCUAAUGGCUUCAUUUUAACUUAUUUACCUCUUUAAAGGCUUUAUUUCCAAAUGCAGUCACAUUCUAAGGUGAGGGUUAGGGAUUCAACAUAUGAAUUUAGAGGGACAAAAUUCAUCCCACAAAAUCUACUUUCCUACUUCCUCCACCAAGUUACUUGAGGUCAGAUGGAAGCUGCUUAAUAAAUGUUUGAUUAAGAAAGGAUUAACAAGAUGAGUGAAUGAAGAGAAAUCAUUGUGCUGCCUCAGGCCUAGAUAGAUCCUUCCUUUGGCACCAGUGGUCACUUUCUAGUCUCUCCUCAGACUGGUCUGGGAAAAUUAAGUCUUCCAGAGAAGGCUGAGGUUAUUGGAGUUUCUUCUGCCCUGUUUCAGGGUGGGCCAGGUGCCAAGGGGAUGCCUACGUGCCAAAGGCCAAGAAUCAGUUUUGUUAUUUUAAUCCCAUUUAAAAUCUUUCUAGCCUCUACUCUCUUACUGACUUCCCACAUCUGGUAAAUUUCCUGAGCUGUCAAUUCUUCUCCUAGAGUAGCUAUCACUUCUCUCAAUUUUUGUGAGGCUGGCAGAAACCCUGACUAGCUCUUUCUUAGAUCAGAGUACCAAUCUCCUAACUAGCUGGUCUGUCACCACCGUCCCCACUUUAAUAUACCCUAUCCUUGUGAUUGUAAUCUAUCUGAAAUCAGUGCCAACUGUGCCAUUCAUAUGCUAAGAAAGCUCUGAUCUGCCCUACUGUCUAAAAGUCUAGGUCCCCUUUACAUUCCUCCACAUGCCCUUCAGACCUUUUGCGAUAUUGAUUUCAUCCAUCUCUCCAGGGUCCUCUGUCGUCUUCAGUCUCCUGCCACACCAAGGCCACGUCUCUGUGCCUCCUCAUAUGUUUUUCUACAGCCUGCAACACAUCUCUUCCCCUUCUCCCACAAGGAUCCCGUGCUUCACAGGCCAACUCAACAUUACAUGCUUAUCCAAAGCUUCCCAAGAACCAAGUUUAGUUAUACUUUGAGCUGUUUACCAUAGACUCUACCAUUUUGCAUUAUAGCUUUUUUGUGCAUGUGUAUGUUUAUCUACAUCUGCUAGACUGUGAGUACUUUGAUGGGGAAAAAAAAUCAGUCAUUUUUUUUUUUUAUUUGAGACAGAGUCUCGCUCUGUU